Molecule: ribosomal RNA, 472 nt
Filed under: uncultured bacterium
Lineage: Bacteria
Description: partial 16S ribosomal RNA
Rfam family: Bacterial small subunit ribosomal RNA
Source: RNAcentral
GAUGAACGCUGGCGGCGUGCCUAAUACAUGCAAGUCGAGCGAACGGACGAGAAGCUGGCUUCUCUGAUGUUAGCGGCGGACGGGUGAUUAACACGUGGAUAACCUACCUCUCAGACUGGGAUAACAUCGGGAAACCGGAGCUAAUAACGGAUAAUAUUUUGAACCGCGUGGGUCACGAGUUAAAGACGCUCUUGCUGUCGCUAAUAGAUGGAUCCGCACUGCCUUAGCUAGUUGGUAGGGUAAAGGCUUACCAAGGCGACGAUGCAUAGCCGACCUGAGAGGAUGCUCAGCCACCCCCGGGCGGAGACACAGCCCGGACUCCUUCGGGAGGCGGCGGUGGGGAAUAGGGGACAAUCGGCGAGAGCCUGAACGAGCCACGCCGCGUAAGUGAUGAAUGCCUUAGAGGUGUAAAGCUCUUUUAACCGGGCUCAUAAUGACAGUACCGAAAGAAUAAGCGCCGGCUAACUCCGUG